This 497-nucleotide ribosomal RNA is filed under the name uncultured bacterium. RNAcentral's name for it is "partial 16S ribosomal RNA". It matches the Rfam family "Bacterial small subunit ribosomal RNA", at positions 28 to 507 of the family's 1533-position model. The record is from RNAcentral.
GAUGAACGCUGGCGGCGUGCCUAAUACAUGCAAGUCGAGCGAACAGACGAGGAGCUUGCUCCUCUGACGUUAGCGGCGGACGGGUGAGUAACACGUGGAUAACCUACCUAUAAGACUGGGAUAACUUCGGGAAACCGGAGCUAAUACCGGAUAAUAUAUUGAACCGCAUGGUUCAAUAGUGAAAGACGGUUUUGCUGUCACUUAUAGAUGGAUCCGCGCCGCAUUAGCUAGUUGGUAAGGUAACGGCUUACCAGGGCAACGAUGCGUAGCCGACCUGAGAGGGUGAUCGGCCACACUGGAACUGAGACACGGUCCAGACUCCUACGGGAGGCAGCAGUAGGGAAUCUUCCGCAAUGGGCGAAAGCCUGACGGAGCAACGCCGCGUGAGUGAUGAAGGUCUUCGGAUCGUAAAACUCUGUUAUUGGGGAAGAACAAAUGUGUAAGUAACUAUGCACGUCUUGACGGUACCUAAUCAGAAAGCCACGGCUAACUACGUG